Molecule: ribosomal RNA, 467 nt
Filed under: uncultured bacterium
Lineage: Bacteria
Description: partial 16S ribosomal RNA
Rfam family: Bacterial small subunit ribosomal RNA
Source: RNAcentral
GACGAACGCUGGCGGCGUGCUUAACACAUGCAGGUCGAACGGAAAGGCCCUGCUUUUGUGGGGUGCUCGAGUGGCGAACGGGUGAGUAACACGUGAGUAACCUGCCCUUGACUUUGGGAUAACUUCAGGAAACUGGGGCUAAUACCGGAUAGGAGCUCCUGCUGCAUGGUGGGGGUUGGAAAGUUUCGGCGGUUGGGGAUGGACUCGCGGCUUAUCAGCUUGUUGGUGGGGUAGUGGCUUACCAAGGCUUUGACGGGUAGCCGGCCUGAGAGGGUGACCGGCACAUUGGGACUGAGAUACGGCCCAGACUCCUACGGGAGGCAGCAGUGGGGAAUAUUGCACAAUGGGCGGAAGCCUGAUGCAGCAACGCCGCGUGCGGGAUGACGGCCUUCGGGUUGUAAACCGCUUUCGCCUGUGACGAAGCGUGAGUGACGGUAAUGGGUAAAGAAGCACCGGCUAACUACGUG